GUAGCAAGGUUAACCGUAUAGGGGAGCCGGAGGGAAACCGAGUCUUAACCGGGCGUUAAGUUGCAGGGUAUAGACCCGAAACCCGGUGAUCUAGCCAUGGGCAGGUUGAAGGUUGGGUAACACUAACUGGAGGACCGAACCGACUAAUGUUGAAAAAUUAGCGGAUGACCUGUGGCUGGGGGUGAAAGGCCAAUCAAACCGGGAGAUAGCUGGUUCUCCCCGAAAGCUAUUUAGGUAGCGCCUCGUGAAUUCAUCUCCGGGGGUAGAGCACUGUUUCGGCUAGGGGGCCAUCCCGGCUUACCAACCCGAUGCAAACUGCGAAUACCGGAGAAUGUUAUCACGGGAGACACACGGCGGGUGCUAACGUCCGUCGUGAAGAGGGAAACAACCCAGACCGCCAGCUAAGGUCCCAAAGUCAUGGUU
This 423-nucleotide ribosomal RNA is filed under the name Salmonella enterica subsp. enterica serovar Give. Its description in RNAcentral is "partial 23S ribosomal RNA". It matches the Rfam family "Bacterial large subunit ribosomal RNA", at positions 637 to 1060 of the family's 2925-position model. The record is from RNAcentral. Lineage: Bacteria; Pseudomonadati; Pseudomonadota; Gammaproteobacteria; Enterobacterales; Enterobacteriaceae.